RNAcentral lists this ribosomal RNA (496 nucleotides) under uncultured bacterium. Its description in RNAcentral is "partial 16S ribosomal RNA". It matches the Rfam family "Bacterial small subunit ribosomal RNA", at positions 28 to 507 of the family's 1533-position model. The record is from RNAcentral.
GAUGAACGCUGUCUACAGGCUUAACACAUGCAAGUCGAGGGGAAACGACGGGGAAGCUUGCUUCCCCGGGCGUCGACCGGCGCACGGGUGAGUAACGCGUAUCCAACCUGCCUCUGACUGAGGGAUAACCCGUCGAAAGUCGGCCUAAUACCUCAUGGCAUCGUCUGCGGGCAUCCAACGACGAUUAAAGAUUUCAUCGGUCAGGGAUGGGGAUGCGUCUGAUUAGCUUGUUGGCGGGGUAACGGCCCACCAAGGCGACGAUCAGUAGCUGUUCUGAGAGGAUGAUCAGGCACACUGGAACUGAGACACGGUGCAGACUCCUACGGGAGGCAGCAGUGGGGAAUAUUGGACAAUGGGCGAAAGCCUGAUCCAGACAUACCGCGUGGGUGAAGAAGGACUUCGGGUUGUAAAGCCCUUUUGUUGGGAAAGAAAAGCAGCAGGUUAAUACCCCGCUGUUCUGACGGUACCAAAAGAAUAAGCACCGGCUAACUUCGUG